Brienomyrus brachyistius is the source of this 327-nucleotide long non-coding RNA. RefSeq lists it as uncharacterized. The transcript has 3 exons. The record is from RefSeq and is a predicted model, not a curated record. NCBI's taxonomy places the organism in Eukaryota, Metazoa, Chordata, Actinopteri, Osteoglossiformes, Mormyridae.
ACAGGCAAACUGACAGUAGCUAUGACUACACACUGUGACAGUACAACGCUCAAGCGUGAUACGGUGCAAUAUUUUCGGAACUUCAGCAUUGUUACUGCAGGCAUCUCUCCAACACCCACGCUCCCGUUCCCCUCUCCAACCCCCUGAUACACACUCCUGUUCCUGGAAACCCAUAAACUGGAGAAUUAUUAAAAGUUCAGCAAUACGCAGACUCAGAGCCUCCCAGUGCAUGAUGGGCAGCCCUAAGUCAUCGUCAUUGAUCCCCUCCUGCCAGACAGUGGCUGCUCCUUCCACAGCCUGACCAAAGUCCUCCGCUUCAUCGCUUUC